This 443-nucleotide ribosomal RNA is filed under the name uncultured Acholeplasma sp. RNAcentral's name for it is "bacterial SSU rRNA". It matches the Rfam family "Bacterial small subunit ribosomal RNA", at positions 931 to 1382 of the family's 1533-position model. The record is from RNAcentral. Lineage: Bacteria; Bacillati; Mycoplasmatota; Mollicutes; Acholeplasmatales; Acholeplasmataceae.
GGUGGAUCAUGUUGUUUAAUUCGAUGAUACGCGAAGAACCUUACCAGGUCUUGACAUCCCAUGCAAAGCUAUAGAGAUAUAGUGGAGGUUAUCAUGGAGACAGGUGGUGCAUGGUUGUCGUCAGCUCGUGUCGUGAGAUGUUGGGUUAAGUCCCGCAACGAGCGCAACCCUUAUUGCUAGUUACCAUCAUUGAGUUGGGGACUCUAGCGAGACUGCCAGUGAUAAACUGGAGAAGUGGGGAUGACGUCAAAUCAUCAUGCCCCUUAUGACCUGGGCUACAAACGUGAUACAAUGGCUGAAACAAAGGGCAGCGAAGCAGUGAUGUGGAGCGAAACCCAAAAAGCAGUCUCAGUUCGGAUUGAAGUCUGCAACUCGACUUCAUGAAGUCGGAAUCGCUAGUAAUCGCGGAUCAGAACGCCGCGGUGAAUACGUUCUCGGGGUUU